GGAGUUAGCCGGUGCUUCUUCUGCGAGUAACGUCACAGAUGUAAGGUAUUAACUUACACCCUUUCCUCCUCGCUGAAAGUGCUUUACAACCCGAAGGCCUUCUUCACACACGCGGCAUGGCUGCAUCAGGGUUUCCCCCAUUGUGCAAUAUUCCCCACUGCUGCCUCCCGUAGGAGUCUGGGCCGUGUCUCAGUCCCAGUGUGGCUGAUCAUCCUCUCAGACCAGCUAGGGAUCGUCGCCUAGGUGAGCCUUUACCUCACCUACUAGCUAAUCCCACCUGGGCUUAUCCAUCAGCGCAAGGCCCGAAGGUCCCCUGCUUUCCCCCGUAGGGCGUAUGCGGUAUUAGCAGUCGUUUCCAACUGUUAUCCCCACAAAUGGGCAAAUUCCCAGGCAUUACUCACCCGUCCGCCGCUCGUCAUCUUCAAAAGCAAGCUUUUGAAAUGUUACCGCUCGACUUGCAUGUGUAGCUGCGCCAGCGUCAUACUGAGCAGAUACAACUACUGA
This 504-nucleotide ribosomal RNA is filed under the name uncultured bacterium. RNAcentral's name for it is "partial 16S ribosomal RNA". The record is from RNAcentral.